Molecule: long non-coding RNA, 763 nt
Organism: Zingiber officinale
Lineage: Eukaryota; Viridiplantae; Streptophyta; Magnoliopsida; Zingiberales; Zingiberaceae
Exons: 4
Source: RefSeq, a predicted model, not a curated record
AACCCACUUCCUUCUUCCCUCUCUCGAUCUCCCCGACUCCUCUCGCUAUCUCUCUCUCUCGGGCGACUCAACGCCAAGGCCGAAGGAGGCUCGCCACCGGAGCUCGACGGAUACCAGCGGGCUCCAGGUCGUCUUCGGCUGAAGGGUUUCUGCUUCGGCAGAUUUUAUGACCAAUCGCCGACGAUCGGUGACUAGGGCACGGCGGGAAGGAGUUGAUUUGCAUCAUCACCGGCUGAUCGAGCCCUUUCCGGUUCUUCUCUUUGAUUUGUCCACUGGAGAAUGGUAUGGAUCGCCACCAGCUGAGAUUGAUCGCGCAAGAUCAUUGGGAAGUGAUCGAUUUAGAGGGAUGCACCAAAUCAACAUAUGGAUGAAUUUUCCUUGAAGCCGAUCAUUGCAUUCCGUUUCUUGUGGCUGAUUGAGUCUCGGCUGGGGGAUUAGGGAUCAGUUGAGGUAAGGUCCUAUUGUGUUAAGGUUUCAGUAAUUAAUUUCUGUACAAUUAGGUUCUGGAUCGAGUUUUUGGAAGAAUUGGUGGUGGUGUUCUGUUGUAUGCUAUGUAUCUCCCUACCAGAUGGAUCGAAUUGGGUGAUCAACCUUGAGGAAGCAUUGGAUCAGUAUGUGGUGGACCUUCCCUGUUGCCGGCCAUUGCCAAUUCCACUUCUUGAAGCUGUGCAGGCCUCAGGUGAGGAGGUGAAGAUUCUGUUGAGCUUCUCGGCAGUAAGUUGUAGGGUUGCUGAGCUACUGGAGUUGCUGCCAUACCUUAAGG